ACGCUGGCGGCGUGCCUAACACAUGCAAGUCGAACGGAGUUAGAUAAAAGCUUGCUUUUAUUUGACUUAGUGGCGGACGGGUGAGUAACACGUGGGUAACCUGCCCUAGACACAGGGNAUAACAAUGAGAAAUCAUUGCUAAUACCCGAUAAGCUUACGGUAACACAAGUUACAGUAAGAAAAGAUUUAUCGGUUUAGGAUGGGCCCGCGUCUGAUUAGCUAGUUGGUGAGGUAAUGGCUCACCAAGGCGACGAUCAGUAGCCGACCUGAGAGGGUGAUCGGCCACAUUGGGACUGAGACACGGCCCAAACUCCUACGGGAGGCAGCAGUGGGGAAUAUUGCACAAUGGGGGAAACCCUGAUGCAGCAACGCCGCGUGAAGGAAGAAGGUUUUCGGAUCGUAAACUACUAUCGAUGGGGAAGAAUAAAUGACGGUACCCAAGUAAGAAGCCCCGGCUAACUACGUGCCAGCAGCCGCGGUAAUACGUAGGGGGCAAGCGUUAUCCGGAAUUACUGGGUGUAAAGGGUGAGUAGGUUGGCUUGUAAGUCAUAUGUGAAAUACCGAUGCUUAACAUCGGGGCGGGAGUACGGCCGCAAGGCUGAAACUCAAAAGAAUUGACGGGGGCCCGCACAAGCGGUGGAGCAUGUGGUUUAAUUCGAAGCAACGCGAAGAACCUUACCCAAGGCUUGACAUCCUUCUCGAUACUCUAGAAAUAGAGUAGCCCUUCGGGGGAGAAGUGAACAGGUGGUGCAUGGUUGUCGUCAGCUCGUGUCGUGAGAUGUUGGGUUAAGUCCCGCAACGAGCGCAACCCUUAUCUUUAGUAGCUAGCAGGUAAUGCUGAGCACUCUAGAGAGACUGCCAUGAAUAACAUGGAGGAAGGUGGGGACGACGUCAAAUCAGCACGGCCCUUACGUCCGGGGCGACACACGUGUUACAAUGGAUGGUACAAAGGGUUGCGACAUAGUGAUAUGAAGCCAAUCUCAAAAAGCCAUUCUCAGUUCGGAUCGCAGGCUGAAACUCGCCUGCGUGAAGUUGGAUUCGCUAGUAAUCGUAUAUCCGCCAUGAUACGGUGAAUACGUUCCCGGGCCUUGUACACACCGCCCGUCAAGCCAUGGAAGUUGGGGGUGCACUGAAGUACGUGUGCGUCAAGCAGCGUCCUAGGGCAAA
RNAcentral lists this ribosomal RNA (1167 nucleotides) under uncultured Eubacterium sp. Its description in RNAcentral is "bacterial SSU rRNA". It matches the Rfam family "Bacterial small subunit ribosomal RNA". The record is from RNAcentral. Lineage: Bacteria; Bacillati; Bacillota; Clostridia; Eubacteriales; Eubacteriaceae.